AUUUUUGGUUAAUAUUUCACAAUUGAUUUUUAUUUUUCAUCAUCAUUAAAGGCCCAGGCCAGAGAUACCCAAAGGAGAUGGGAAACUUCUGACGUCAUACUGGUUUGCCUACAAGCUCCGUCGGACAUUUUUGGCUAAGUAUGCGUGAAAAAACCGACGCUUUUGGCUAAUGUCGAAUUCCUUUCAAUUUUUUGAAUCGCCUCAAAAAAAUCGAAUUUUUGGUUUAAAAAGGAACAUGAAAACAGACCGAAUUCUUUUUGCUAUUGUAUGUGUGUCAUUUGACAACAAUUUUUACAAAAACGUCAAGCUGAAACCAAAACAAUUUCUGCAAAAUAAAACCAGAGAUUCCUUUGAUCAAUAAUUUUGUUUAUUUUCUUCGGUAAUAUAAAUUUAUUUUAAUCAGAAUCAAACGGAAAUUGCAGUUAUUAUUAAGAUCUGAGUGGAGAUGAAGUAGAAGGUUAAUUAUUUUGGCCGUAUGCUGAUGCUUUGCAGAGAUACAAGUUUCUUGAAGACAAUCACGGGAAGAAAAGUCACAGUAAAUUGACUUUUUCACAAAAAGUAUGCCAGGCGAAUUUUUUUUUCUAUGGAACAUGAUUUUCAGAAAAAAUUCGCUUUAAGAUCGCCGAAAAUUCGAUUUUACCAGUCAAAGGAAUUCGGCAUAAGUAUGCGUGAAAAAUCAUACAUUUUUGGAUAAGUGUGAGUAAAAACACCGUGACUACACUAUGUGUGUUUUUCACAUUUAUUCACGAAUACAAAAGAGAUUACAACAACACGAAAUAAACAAAUGGGUUUUGGGGGGUAUAACGUACGAAAGUUUCCCAACUCCUUUGGGUAUCUCUGGCCCAUGGUAUAAAAAGAGAAGGUAUGAUCAUUAGAAAAAACUCAGUAUCGAGCACUGUCAAAACUUAUGGCUACUUAAGGUUUUGACAGCCCAGCCCAUUGAAAUUGUUGCUGUAAACAAAUUUGUCUUGGAAAUUAUUGUUGCUUUUGACUUUGCCCUUCAAGCAAGAACAUACUUGCAACUUUUUGUGUAUGAACACAAAAGUCGAACGAGAAUUGUGGUGAAAAAUGAGAAAAGGAAAAGAAAGACAAGGCCAACAAGAGCCAAAGCGUCAUUUUGUUAUUUUUUGUUGAAGUUUUUGGUCGCGUCGUGUCUUGUGUCGUUGUUUGUCAAAUUCUUGAAGUCAAAGAUAAAGUACAUAAUAUUGCUCCAUGGGAAUCGACGGCAGAAAUGUCAAACAUAUUCGAUACUCGCCCUUCAAGCAAGAAAACGGAGUCCAGAAAAGACAGUCCGACCUCCGACCGAGAAAAGCGGGGUUGCACUCACACACUUGCAACUUUUUGUGUAUGAACACAAAGUCUAAGAGAAUCGUGGUGAAAACUGAGAAAAGGAAAAAAAAGUAGACAGACAUAGCCAACAAGAGCAAAAGCGUCAUUUUGUUAUUUUUUGUUGAAGUGUUUAGUCGCGUCGUGUCUCGUGUCGUUGUUAAUAAAAUAUGAGUAUAAUUAUAAACAAUUAUAUCAAACUAUUAACAAUAUGGAAACAAAAAAAGAUGUAAUCUCUAAUGAUGAAGAAAAAGUCAGAAGGUGAAACAUGCGAUUGGGCAUCUAAAGAAACACCAACAACAGCAGCAACAACAAAUAAAAUAAAAUAAAAAAAAUGUAUUCUAUUUUAUAUUGUAUAUACUGUAUUGUGAAAAUUUCGUUUGCCAAAAUUAAAUAAAAAAAAACAGUUUCAGUGAAAAAAAAACAAAAAUCUAGUUCUUUUUUUGGUCGCAAAUGCGAAACGUCAUCCCUUUUUUAUUCCUCUUUUGGUAGGUUUUCGCUGCUCCGACUCAGGUCCGCCUUCGGCUCCGUUUUCUCGGAAUGGAGAUUUUCACCACACUAAUACAUAUGCAAUCGACUUCGCGGUGAUUAUAAUUUCCAUACUAAUUUGAGCCGCCUUCGGACCAGUUUCUGAUCCGAAGUCGGACUCAGCUCCUCCUCAGGCGGAGCGGAUUCGGACCGAAGUCGGACCUGUUUGCUUGAAGGGCGAGUAUCGAUCGAUGUCAAAAUGCCGGACGUCAUUCGUUCCGACUUCGGCUCCGAUUUCUCGGAAUGGAGAUUUUCACCACACUAAUACAUAUGCAAUCGACAUCGCGGUGAUUAUAAUUUCCAUACUAAUUUGAGCCGCCUUCGGACCAGUUUCUGAUCCGAAGUCGAACUCAGCUCCGCCUUAGGCGGAGCGGAUUCGGACCGAGGUCGGACCUGUUUGCUUGAAGGGUGCCAAAUGCCAAAUAACAAAACCUUAUUACCCCAUUUUGUAAGAUGGCGGCUCUGAUGAUCAUACCUUGUCUUUUUAUACCAUGUCUCUGGGCCAGGCAUAUGCACGCAUGGGCUUAAGUCAAAAUGGCAUGAGUGAGUUGUCGAACAUACACAAUUCGU
Long non-coding RNA from Episyrphus balteatus (marmalade hoverfly), 2424 nucleotides. RefSeq lists it as uncharacterized. The transcript has 3 exons. The record is from RefSeq and is a predicted model, not a curated record. NCBI's taxonomy places the organism in Eukaryota, Metazoa, Arthropoda, Insecta, Diptera, Syrphidae.